This 454-nucleotide ribosomal RNA is filed under the name uncultured bacterium. RNAcentral's name for it is "partial 16S ribosomal RNA". It matches the Rfam family "Bacterial small subunit ribosomal RNA", at positions 28 to 507 of the family's 1533-position model. The record is from RNAcentral.
GAUGAACGCUGACAGAAUGCUUAACACAUGCAAGUCCACUUGAACUUCGGUUUGGGUGGCGGACGGGUGAGUAACGCGUAAAGAACUUGCCUCACAGCUAGGGACAACAUUUGGAAACGAAUGCUAAUACCUGAUAUUAUGAUUAUAUGGCAUCGUAUAAUUAUGAAAGCUAUAUGCGCUGUGAGAGAGCUUUGCGUCCCAUUAGCUAGUUGGAGAGGUAACAGCUCACCAAGGCGAUGAUGGGUAGCCGGCCUGAGAGGGUGAUCGGCCACAAGGGGACUGAGACACGACCCUUACUCCUACGGGAGGCAGCAGUGGGGAAUAUUGGACAAUGGACCGAGAGUCUGAUCCAGUAAUUCUGUGUGCACGAUGAAGUUUUUCGGAAUGUAAAGUGCUUUCAGUUGGGAAGAAAAAAAUGACGGUACCAACAGAAGAAGUGACGGCUAAAUACGUG